RNAcentral lists this ribosomal RNA (1394 nucleotides) under uncultured bacterium. RNAcentral's name for it is "bacterial SSU rRNA". It matches the Rfam family "Bacterial small subunit ribosomal RNA". The record is from RNAcentral.
UUCGAUUAGAGUUUGAUCAUGGCUCAGAUUGAACGCUGGCGGCAUGCCUUACACAUGCAAGUCGAACGGCAGCAUGAUCUAGCUUGCUAGAUUGAUGGCGAGUGGCGAACGGGUGAGUAAUACAUCGGAACGUGCCCUGUAGUGGGGGAUAACUAGUCGAAAGAUUAGCUAAUACCGCAUACGACCUGAGGGUGAAAGUGGGGGACCGCAAGGCCUCAUGCUAUAGGAGCGGCCGAUGUCUGAUUAGCUAGUUGGUGAGGUAAAGGCUCACCAAGGCGACGAUCAGUAGCUGGUCUGAGAGGACGAUCAGCCACACUGGGACUGAGACACGGCCCAGACUCCUACGGGAGGCAGCAGUGGGGAAUUUUGGACAAUGGGGGCAACCCUGAUCCAGCAAUGCCGCGUGUGUGAAGAAGGCCUUCGGGUUGUAAAGCACUUUUGUCCGGAAAGAAAUCGCACUUACUAAUAUUAGGUGUGGAUGACGGUACCGGAAGAAUAAGGACCGGCUAACUACGUGCCAGCAGCCGCGGUAAUACGUAGGGUCCAAGCGUUAAUCGGAAUUACUGGGCGUAAAGCGUGCGCAGGCGGUUGUGCAAGACCGAUGUGAAAUCCCCGGGCUUAACCUGGGAAUUGCAUUGGCGACUGCACGGCUAGAGUGUGUCAGAGGGGGGUAGAAUUCCACGUGUAGCAGUGAAAUGCGUAGAGAUGUGGAGGAAUACCGAUGGCGAAGGCAGCCCCCUGGGAUAACACUGACGCUCAUGCACGAAAGCGUGGGGAGCAAACAGGAUUAGAUACCCUGGUAGUCCACGCCCUAAACGAUGUCAACUAGUUGUUGGGGAUUCAUUUCCUUAGUAACGUAGCUAACGCGUGAAGUUGACCGCCUGGGGAGUACGGUCGCAAGAUUAAAACUCAAAGGAAUUGACGGGGACCCGCACAAGCGGUGGAUGAUGUGGAUUAAUUCGAUGCAACGCGAAAAACCUUACCUACCCUUGACAUGCCACUAACGAAGCAGAGAUGCAUUAGGUGCUCGAAAGAGAAAGUGGACACAGGUGCUGCAUGGCUGUCGUCAGCUCGUGUCGUGAGAUGUUGGGUUAAGUCCCGCAACGAGCGCAACCCUUGUCUCUAGUUGCUACGAAAGGGCACUCUAGAGAGACUGCCGGUGACAAACCGGAGGAAGGUGGGGAUGACGUCAAGUCCUCAUGGCCCUUAUGGGUAGGGCUUCACACGUCAUACAAUGGUGCAUACAGAGGGUUGCCAAGCCGCGAGGUGGAGCUAAUCCCAGAAAAUGCAUCGUAGUCCGGAUCGUAGUCUGCAACUCGACUACGUGAAGCUGGAAUCGCUAGUAAUCGCGGAUCAGCAUGCCGCGGUGAAUACGUUCCACGGGUCUUGUAGAC